AGCAACUGUAAACAAUUCUGAGAGGGCAUCUUAUUGGGAAGAACUGCUACGAGAUAAAUAUGAAGUGCAUCAAGUUGAAGAAUUCAAGACCAUGGGGAAGGGAAAGAGGAGUCGUAAGCAGAUGGUGUCUGUUGACGAUGAUGAUCUUGCUGGUCUGGAGGAUGUGAGCACCGACGGAGAGGAUGACAGCUAUGACGCUGAAGCUGAUUCCAGUGAUGGUGAGACAGCUUCACUGGGAGCGCCAGUUUUGAGGAAGGCUCACAGAAAGAAAGCCCGCGUUGAUUCUGCUGAACCACUCCCUUUGAUGGAAGGAGAAGGAAGAUCAUUUAGGGUACUGGGGUUCAAUCAAAGCCAAAGAGCAGCAUUUGUCCAAAUUUUGAUGAGAUUUGGGGCUGGUGAGUUUGACUGGGCAGACUUCACUCCACGAUUGAAGCAGAAAACUUAUGAAGAAA
Molecule: unclassified non-coding RNA, 452 nt
Filed under: Hevea brasiliensis (rubber tree)
Lineage: Eukaryota; Viridiplantae; Streptophyta; Magnoliopsida; Malpighiales; Euphorbiaceae
Source: RNAcentral